UACAGAGGUCUCAAGCGUUGUUCGGAUUCAUUGGGCGUAAAGGGUGUGUAGGUGGCGCGCUAAGUCGGGUGUGAAAUUUCGGAGCUUAACUCCGAAACUGCAUUCGAUACUGGCGUGCUUGAGGACUGGAGAGGAGACUGGAAUUCAUGGUGUAGCAGUGAAAUGCGUAGAUAUCGUGAGGAAGACCAGUGGCGAAGGCGGAUCUCUGGACAGUUCCUGACGCUGAGGCACGAAGGCCAGGGGAGCAAACGGG
RNAcentral lists this ribosomal RNA (253 nucleotides) under uncultured bacterium. RNAcentral describes it as "partial 16S ribosomal RNA". It matches the Rfam family "Bacterial small subunit ribosomal RNA", at positions 524 to 776 of the family's 1533-position model. The record is from RNAcentral.